Leptospira interrogans serovar Lai str. 56601 is the source of this 99-nucleotide regulatory RNA element. It matches the Rfam family "TPP riboswitch aptamer (THI element)". Rfam says of the family: Vitamin B(1) in its active form thiamin pyrophosphate (TPP) is an essential coenzyme that is synthesised by coupling of pyrimidine and thiazole moieties in bacteria. The previously detected thiamin-regulatory element, thi box was extended, resulting in a new, highly conserved RNA secondary structure, the THI element, which is widely distributed in eubacteria and also occurs in some archaea. Lineage: Bacteria; Pseudomonadati; Spirochaetota; Leptospiria; Leptospirales; Leptospiraceae. The record is from Rfam.
CUUGGACGUUGGGGGUGGGAUUCACUGCGUGAAUCUCUGAGAGAGUCCCCGGAACCUGAUCAGGAUAAGACCUGCGUAGGAAAACGGACCUGUAAAAUU